CAUCUUCAUUCCUAUGUGUAGCGAGAGAAAGCUGUCCUCGUCCAAGCUUUUCUCCAGUCUCGGCCACAUAUAACUAAAAAGGUUAAAAGUUCACACUAACUUAACUAACAAGGAAUAAUUGCUUCAGUUACAGUAGAGUCAAUCACUGUAGAAUUCUCAGGACAUGCCAUUUUUAGAAGCCGUGAUUUGUUUUUCAAGCCAUUACCAGCACAAAAAGUACUAUUAGAAGGAGAAUCUUAUUAUCGUUUGCCACUCAACAAAGAUCAAUAUAGUAGCAGUAAUAUUAUUUAAAUGGAUAACAAGAUUUGCAUCAAAUCUGUAAAGAACCUUCACAAUAUCCCUCCACAAAAUGAAGUUAGUUUGUACUAUGAAGAAAAAGAAAAAGAAAUGAAGCUGCUGUUGUUGACCCUUCUCCAUUCAACGCAGUACAUAUUUUGAGGCCUCAAAAUGAAAUUACAACUCUCCAGAGAGUUUUUGUUUAAACAUGGAGAAGCAGUACAUAUUUUGAGGCCUCAAAACGAAAUUACAACUCUCCAGAGAGUUUUUGUUUAAACAUGGAGAAAUUAUAAUUAAAUACGAGAUUAGAGAGAUCCAAUCUUAAACGGAGAAUUAUCAAUGUGUGUCAGGCAUAAAAUCACCAUCAAGUUGGGAUUAAGAAAUUGCAACUUCCUAAUUAUUUCAUUAGUGACUAUUUAAUCACUUAUUAGAUACAAUAAACUAUAGUGGCGUAUACAUAAUUAUACACUACUACCAAGUUUCUGGACCAUCCUUCCCUCCUUUUGUUGGUCUUUGAAUUUGUAUUCAUUCAUCCAUGUUUCUGUAUAAGUGAAGUUUCU
Molecule: long non-coding RNA, 836 nt
Filed under: Nicotiana benthamiana
Lineage: Eukaryota; Viridiplantae; Streptophyta; Magnoliopsida; Solanales; Solanaceae
Description: long non-coding RNA (NBEN_LNC034167)
Source: RNAcentral